This is a non-coding RNA of Chelonoidis abingdonii (Abingdon island giant tortoise), 659 nucleotides long. The record is from RefSeq and is a predicted model, not a curated record. NCBI's taxonomy places the organism in Eukaryota, Metazoa, Chordata, Testudines, Testudinidae.
UGCACGAUCACAAGUGCACUGCAGGUAAAAUCACAAGUGCACGUGCCAGAUCACAAGCGCACGAUCACCAGUGCACCCAUAUGCAAAAUCACAAGUGCACGCAUAGGGUCUCAAAUGGGCCCAGUGCAUUAGCGGGCCCCCCUCAGCCUACCAGGUGACAGGAGCCACUGGAUUGGGAGUCACACCCAGGGUGCCUGGGCAGGGGGCAUAGGAGGGCCGGUGGGGGGCUCAAGUCCACCCCCCCACACACAGGACGGCAGCCGCAAAGGUCCAAUAUAGAUUUUAUAGAGCGAUCUCGAGAGAACCAUUUCCAGCGCCAAAAACGUCUCUCUAUAUUAAAAAGAUCAUUCACUUUUCUCUCAGAAAAAUACUGCCAGCGCGGCCCCUUGUUCUAGGGGGCAGGAUGGGGAUGAAGCGUGCCCCCCCCCAACACCAGGAGGGGGCGAGAAGCUGAGCGAGGGGAUAUUUGUCCGAAGCGGCAGUGGGGUGUGUGUGAUCUUCCACGGGGGGGGGACCCCGGGGGAGGAGCUGGCUGGUUAAAUGGGGGGCUGGGAUGGCCAAGAUUUUGGCAGCAGCAGUUGGGGGCGGCCUGGGGCUGGAAAAGGAUCCGGAGUGGAGAGGAAACUGACAAAGAAAUUAGCAAAUGGUGCGGCAGGAGG